Molecule: ribosomal RNA, 253 nt
Filed under: uncultured bacterium
Lineage: Bacteria
Description: partial 16S ribosomal RNA
Rfam family: Bacterial small subunit ribosomal RNA
Source: RNAcentral
UACGUAGGCAGCAAGCGUUGUUCGGAGUUACUGGGCGUAAAGGGUGUGUAGGCGGCCCUAUAAGUAUGGUGUGAAAUCUCCCGGCUCAACUGGGAGGGUGCGCUAUAGACUGUGGGGCUAGAGUGUGGGAGAGGAAAGUGGAAUUCCUGGUGUAGCGGUGAAAUGCGUAGAUAUCAGGAGGAACACCGGUGGUGUAAACGGCUUUCUGGACCAUAACUGACGCUGAGACACGAAAGCGUGGGUAGCAAACAGG